GCAACGCGAAGAACCUUACCAGGUCUUGACAUCCCGAUGCUAUUUCUAGAGAUAGAAAGUUACUUCGGUACAUCGGUGACAGGUGGUGCAUGGUUGUCGUCAGCUCGUGUCGUGAGAUGUUGGGUUAAGUCCCGCAACGAGCGCAACCCCUAUUGUUAGUUGCCAUCAUUCAGUUGGGCACUCUAGCGAGACUGCCGGUAAUAAACCGGAGGAAGUGGGGAUGACGUCAAAUCAUCAUGCCCCUUAUGACCUGGGCUACACACGUGCUACAAUGGUUGGUACAACGAGUUGCGAGUCGGUGACGGCGAGCUAAUCUCUUAAAGCCAAUCUCAGUUCGGAUUGUAGGCUGCAACUCGCCUACAUGAAGUCGGAAUCGCUAGUAAUCGCGGAUCAGCACGCCGCGGUGAAUACGUUCCCGGGCCUU
RNAcentral lists this ribosomal RNA (424 nucleotides) under uncultured Streptococcus sp. Its description in RNAcentral is "bacterial SSU rRNA". It matches the Rfam family "Bacterial small subunit ribosomal RNA", at positions 956 to 1382 of the family's 1533-position model. The record is from RNAcentral. Lineage: Bacteria; Bacillati; Bacillota; Bacilli; Lactobacillales; Streptococcaceae.